This 253-nucleotide ribosomal RNA is filed under the name uncultured bacterium. RNAcentral describes it as "partial 16S ribosomal RNA". It matches the Rfam family "Bacterial small subunit ribosomal RNA", at positions 524 to 776 of the family's 1533-position model. The record is from RNAcentral.
UACGUAGGGUGCGAGCGUUAAUCGGAAUUACUGGGCGUAAAGUGUGCGCAGGCGGCCGAGCAAGUCGAGUGUGAAAGCCCCGGGCUUAACUUGGGAAUUGCGCUCGAAACUACUUGGCUGGAGUGUGGCAGAGGGAGGUGGAAUUCCACGUGUAGCGGUGAAAUGCGUAGAUAUCGGGAGGAACACCGGUGGCGAAGGCGACUACCUGGCCUGUUCUUGACGCUGAGGCGCGAAAGCUAGGGGAGCAAACGGG